UACGGGGGGAGCAAGCGUUGUUCGGAUUUACUGGGCGUAAAGGGCGCGUAGGCGGCCUCCGCAAGUCGACUGUGAAAUCUCCGGGCUCAACCUGGGAACUGCAUUUGUGACUGCACAGCUGGAGUGCGGCAGAGGGGGGUAGAAGUUCCACGUGUGAGCAGUGAAAUGCGUAGAGAUGUGGAGGAAUACCGAUGGCGAAGGCAGCCCCCUGGGUCAAUACUGACGCUCAUGCACGAAAGCGUGGGGAUCGAAACAGG
Molecule: ribosomal RNA, 257 nt
Filed under: uncultured bacterium
Lineage: Bacteria
Description: partial 16S ribosomal RNA
Rfam family: Bacterial small subunit ribosomal RNA
Source: RNAcentral